AACGCCUUGUGAAAAACGUCCGAGAUGAAGAGAUCGUCCCCCGGAGAGCCUUCCACCAUGCCCGAGAAGUCGGCGUGCGGCGGCGAGAAUGCGAGGUCCAAGCCCAUCCGCUUGAGCAGCUCCGGCGCUUGGACCCCCAGCGAGAUCUUGAACUUCGGGAGCUGGAAGUCGCCCACUUCCACCUCGUGGAUGCCCGCGAGCGCGUUUCCCAUGGAUUCGGCGUCGUGGAGGCUGCUGACGAGCGCCGGCAGGCCCUGGAGCUCGG
Molecule: long non-coding RNA, 265 nt
Filed under: Selaginella moellendorffii
Lineage: Eukaryota; Viridiplantae; Streptophyta; Lycopodiopsida; Selaginellales; Selaginellaceae
Description: long non-coding RNA (SMOE_LNC000903)
Source: RNAcentral